UCCGUAGGUGAACCUGCGGAGGGAUCAUUACAAGUGACCCCGGUCUAACCACCGGGAUGUUCAUAACCCUUUGUUGUCCGACUCUGUUGCCUCCGGGGCGACCCUGCCUUCGGGCGGGGGCUCCGGGUGGACACUUCAAACUCUUGCGUAACUUUGCAGUCUGAGUAAACUUAAUUAAUAAAUUAAAACUUUUAACAACGGAUCUCUUGGUUCUGGCAUCGAUGAAGAACGCAGCGAAAUGCGGUAAGUAAUGUGAAUUGCAGAAUUCAGUGGAUCAUCGAAUCUUUGAACGCACAUUGCGCCCCCUGGUAUUCCGGGGGGCAUGCCUGUUCGAGCGUCAUUUCACCACUCAAGCCUCGCUUGGUAUUGGGCAACGCGGUCCGCCGCGUGCCUCAAAUCGACCGGCUGGGUCUUCUGUCCCCUAAGCGUUGUGGAAACUAUUCGCUAAAGGGUGUUCGGGAGGCUACGCCGUAAAACAACCCCAUUUCUAAGGUUGACCUCGGAUCAGGUAGGGAUACCCGCUGAACUUAAGCAUAUCAAUAAGCGGAGGA
This 551-nucleotide ribosomal RNA is filed under the name uncultured Cladosporium. RNAcentral describes it as "eukaryotic LSU rRNA". The stretch from base 187 to 340 matches the Rfam family "5.8S ribosomal RNA". Lineage: Eukaryota; Fungi; Ascomycota; Dothideomycetes; Cladosporiales; Cladosporiaceae. The record is from RNAcentral.